Molecule: long non-coding RNA, 350 nt
Filed under: Hordeum vulgare
Lineage: Eukaryota; Viridiplantae; Streptophyta; Magnoliopsida; Poales; Poaceae
Description: long non-coding RNA (HVUL_LNC018726)
Source: RNAcentral
AUAAAUCUCACAUAAGUUCAUGUCUUACAAAAGAUAGCAAACUAGAAGCAAACCAAGUUCGAAGCAAACCACGAAAGAAAGCAAAGCAAAACAAGUUCGACUAUGAAAGCAAAUCCAGCUCCUAGACUCUCUCCCCCUUUGGCACAAGACACCAAAAAGGGGUACACCUAACGCCACAGGUGGUUACUCCUCAUCCUCAGCAUCGCCAGACUCGUCGGUACCCUCCUGAUCGUCCUGCUCCUCCUCUGCCUCCUCAUCGCCAGACCACUGGUAACCUUGAGCCUGCAUCCAAGCAGCCUCUGGAGUGAUGUCGUCCUCUGAUCCGCUGGAGAUGUCCACAUCAAGAGUCC